UACGUAGGGGGCAAGCGUUGUCCGGAUUUAUUGGGCGUAAAGCGCUCGCAGGUGGUUCGUCGCGUCGUGCGUGAAAGACCCCGGCUCAACUGGGGAGUGUCGUGCGAUACGGGCGAACUGGAGGCCAGUAGGGGGAUGCGGAAUUCCGGGUGUAGUGGUGGAAUGCGUAGAGAUCCGGAGGAACACCAGCGGCGAAGGCGGCAUCCUGGACUGGUCCUGACACUCAUGAGCGAAAGCGUGGGGAGCGAUCCGG
Molecule: ribosomal RNA, 253 nt
Filed under: uncultured bacterium
Lineage: Bacteria
Description: partial 16S ribosomal RNA
Rfam family: Bacterial small subunit ribosomal RNA
Source: RNAcentral